AUAACUUUUAACAAUAGAUCUCUUAGUUCUAGCAUUAAUAAAGAACGCAGCGAAAUGUGAUAAGUAGUGUGAAUUGCAGAAUUUAGUAAAUUAUUGAAUCUUUAAACGCAUAUUGCGCCCCUUAGUAUUCUAUAGGGCAUGCCUAUUUAAGCGUUAUUUGUACCCUUAAGCUCUGCUUAGUAUUAGGUGUUUAUUCUACUUAGGACUCGCCUUAAAACAAUUGGCAGCUAGCACAUUAGCCUAGAGCGCAGCACAUUUUGCGCCUCUUGUUAUGGUUGUUAGCAUCUAUUAAGACACUUUUUAAGCUCUUAACCUUAGAUUAGGUAGGGAUACCCGCUAAACUUAAGUAUAUUAAUAAGCGGAGGAAAAGAAACUAACAGGGAUUGCCCUAGUAAUAGUAAGUAAAGCGGCAACAGCUUAAAUUUAAAAUCUAGCUCUUUUAGGGUCUAAGUUAUAAUUUGCAGAGGGCGCUUUAGCGUUAGCAGUAGUCCAAGUUCCUUAGAAUAGGACGUUAUAGAGGGUAAGAAUCCUAUAUAUAGUUACUAGCCUUCGCCGUGUAAAGCCCCUUUAAUAAGUUAAGUUAUUUAGGAAUAUAGCUCUAAAUAGGAGGUAAAUUUCUUCUAAAGCUAAAUACUAGCUAGAGACUAAUAGCGCACAAGUAGAGUAAUUAAAAGAUAAAAAGCACUUUAGAAAGAGAGUUAAAUAGCACGUAAAAUUGUUAAAAGGGAAGCGCUUGCAGCUAGACUUGCCUAUAGUUACUUAUCUAGGCUUUUGUCUAGUGUACUCUUCUAUAGGCAGGCUAGUAUUAGUUUAGGCGGUUAGAUAAAGGUCUCUGUUACGUACCUCCCUUUAGGGAGGCCUUAUAGGGGAGACAACAUGCAACCAGCCUAGACUAAGGUCCGCGCAUCUGCUAGGAUGCUAGCGUAAUAGCUAUAAGCGGCCUAUCUUAAAAUAUAGACUAAGGAGUCUAACAUCUAUGCAAGUGUUUAGGUGUUAAGCCUAGACGCGUAAUAAAAGUAAAUAGAGGUAGGAACCCUUUUAGGGUGCACUAUUAACUAAUCCUAAUGUCUUUAGAAGGAUUUAAGUAAGAGCAUAGCUAUUAGGACCUAAAAGAUAGUAAACUAUGCUUAAAUAGGGUAAAGCUAGAGGAAACUCUAGUAGAGGCUUGCAGCGGUUCUAACGUGUAAAUUAAUUGUUAAAUUUAGGCAUAGGAGCAAAAGACUAAUUAAACUAUCUAGUAGCUAGUUCCUGCUAAAGUUUCCCUUAGGAUAGCAGUAACGUAUUUAGUUUUAUAAGGUAAAGCAAAUAAUUAGAGGCCUAGGGGUUAAAACAACCUUUACCUAUUCUUAAACUUUAAAUAUAUAAGAAGUCCUUGUUACUUAAUUAAACGUGGACACUUAAAUAUACUGUUACUAGUAGGCUAUUUUUAGUAAGUAGAACUAGCGAUACGGGAUGAACUAAACGUGGGGUUAAGGUGCUAGAAUACACGCUUAUUAGACACUACAAAAGGUGUUAGUUUAUCUAGAUAGCAGGACAGUAGCUAUAGAAGUUAGAAUCUACUAAGGAGUGUGUAACAACUUACCUACUAAAUAAACUAGCCCUAAAAAUAGAUAGCGCUUAAGCGUGUUACCUAUACCCUGCUGCUAGGGCAAGAUUUAAGCCCUAGCAAGUAGGCAGGCGUGGAGGCUUGUAACGAAGCCUUAGGGGUAACCCUAGGUAGAACGGCCUCUAGUGUAGAUCUUAGUAGUAGUAGUAAAUACUUAAAUAAGAACUUUAAGGACUAAAGUAGGGAAAGGUUCUGUGUAAAUAGUAGUUAGACACAGGUUAGUUAAUCCUAAGAGAUAGGGUAAUUCUGUUUUAAUAUUAGUGCUUGCGCCGCGCCCUUAAAAGGGAAGCUAGUUAAUAUUCUAGCACCUAAAUAUAGAUUCUCUGUAGCAACGCAACUAAGAGCGGAGACCUUAGCAGGAGCCCUAAGAAGAGUUCUCUUUUCUUCUUAAUAGUCUAUUACCCUAAAAUUAGUUUAUCUAGAGCUAGGGUUUAAUAGCUAGAAGAGCGCUGCACUUUUGCAGCAUUUAGUGCGCUCCUAAUAAGCCUUAAAAAUCUGCUUAAAGAAAUAGUUUUUAUGCUAGGUCGUACUUAUAACUAUAGUAGGUCUCUAAGGUAAAAAGCCUCUAGUUAAUAGAAUAAUGUAGAUAAGGGAAGUUAGCAAAAUAGAUCUAUAACUUUAGGAAAAGGAUUAGCUCUAAGGGUUAGGUACGUUAGGCCUUAGGGAGAAGCCUCUAGCGCAGAAGGGCACUAACCGCAAGGUAGGCGCCUCUUAGCGCUAGGGUGCAGACACCCUUAGCAGGUUUCAGCUGUCUAGCGUACGUUUAAUAACUAACUUAGAACUAGUAUAGAUAAGAGGAAUCUAACUAUCUAAUUAAAAUAUAGCAUUAUAAUAGCUAGAAAGUAGUGUUAACGUAAUGUGAUUUCUGCCUAGUGCUCUAAAUAUUAAAGCAAAGAGAUUUAACCAAGCGUGGGUAAACAGCAGGAGUAACUAUAACUCUCUUAAGGUAGCUAAAUGCCUUAUUAUCUAAUUAGUAACGCGCAUAAAUAGAUUAACAAGAUUCCUACUAUCCCUAUCUACUAUCUAGCGAAACUAUAGCUAAGGGAAUAGGCUUAGCUAAAUUAGCAGGGAAAGAAGACCCUAUUAAGCUUAACUCUAGUUUAAUAUUAUAAAAAGAUAUAGGGGGUGUAGAAUAGGUAGGAGCUUUAGCGCUAGUAAAAUACUACUACCCUUAUUAUUUUUUUACUUAUUUAAUAAAGCGGAGCUAGGCCUUACUACCUAACUUCUAGCGUUUAAGGUCCUUUGUAGGCUAAUCUAGGUUAAAGACAUUGUUAGGUAGGGAGUUUAGCUAGGGCGGCACAUCUAUUAAACUAUAACGCAGGUGUCCUAAGGGGGACUUAUAGAGAACAGAAAUCUCUAGUAGAGCAAAAGGGCAAAAGUCCCCUUAAUUUUGAUUUUUAGUGUGAAUACAAACCAUAAAAGUGUAGCCUAUUAAUCCUUUAGUCCCUUAAAAUUUAAGGCUAGAGGUGCUAGAAAAGUUACUAUAGGGAUAACUAGCUUGUAGCAGCCAAGCGUUUAUAGCGACGUUGCUUUUUAAUCCUUUAAUAUUAGCUCUUCCUAUUAUACUAAAGCAGAAUUUAGUAAGCGUUAGAUUGUUUACCUACUAAUAGGGAACGUAAGCUAGGUUUAGACUAUCGUGAGAUAGGUUAGUUUUACCCUACUAAUAACCUUGCCCUAAUAGUAAUACCGCUUAGUACGAGAGGAACCGCGGUUUUAGAUAAUUAGUUUUUGCGGCUGUCUAACUAGGCAUUGCCGCGAAGCUACUAUCUACUAGAUUAUAGCUAAACGCCUCUAAGUUAGAAUCUAUGCUAGAAUAGGGUGAUUUCUGCCUGCACUAGUUAGAUACAAAUAGGCCUUUGGCCCAGAACCUUACUAGAUUAGCGUUGGCAGCCCUAUUAAAGUUAGGGUUGUUAGCUAGUAUAUUGCAAUUAUACAGUGCGCAGGAU
RNAcentral lists this ribosomal RNA (3552 nucleotides) under Plenodomus biglobosus/Leptosphaeria biglobosa 'brassicae' group. RNAcentral's name for it is "eukaryotic LSU rRNA". It matches the Rfam family "Eukaryotic large subunit ribosomal RNA". The record is from RNAcentral. Lineage: Eukaryota; Fungi; Ascomycota; Dothideomycetes; Pleosporales; Leptosphaeriaceae. RNAcentral also lists the same sequence under 1 other name.